UCUACGGGUGGCUGCAGUGGGGAAUAUUGCACAAUGGAGGGAACUCUGAUGCAGCGACGCCGCGUGAGUGAAGAAGUAAUUCGUUAUGUACAGCCCUAUCUGCCGGGAAGAAAGUGACGGUACCUGACAAAGAAGCACCGGCUAAAUACGUGCCAGCCGCCGCGGUAAUACGGAAGGAGCAAGCGUUAUCCGGAUUUACUGGGUGUAACGGGAGAGUAGGUGGCAGGGGAAGUCCGAAGUGAAAACCCAAAGCUCAACUAUGGGAAUUAUGUAGAAAAUGCUCAGCUAGAGUGCAGGAGAGGCAAGUGGAAGUCUUAGUGUAGCGGUGAAAUGCGUAGAUAUUAGGAGGAACACCAGUGGCGAAGGCGGCUUGCUGGACUGUAACUGACACUGAGGCUCGAAAGCGUGGGGAGCAAACAGGAUUAGAUACCCUUGUAGUC
RNAcentral lists this ribosomal RNA (440 nucleotides) under uncultured bacterium. Its description in RNAcentral is "partial 16S ribosomal RNA". It matches the Rfam family "Bacterial small subunit ribosomal RNA", at positions 338 to 795 of the family's 1533-position model. The record is from RNAcentral.